AGAGAUGGCUGCCUAAAAAGCACCAGAUCCCAUCUGAUCUUGGAAGCUAAGCAGAGUCAGUCCUGGUUAGUACAUGGACAGGAAUCAUCCAAUGAACACGAGGUACUGCCUGCU
RNAcentral lists this ribosomal RNA (114 nucleotides) under Anolis carolinensis (green anole). Lineage: Eukaryota; Metazoa; Chordata; Lepidosauria; Squamata; Anolidae. The record is from RNAcentral.